GAAACGCGAUAGUUAAUGUGAAUUGCAGAAUUCAGUGAAUCAUCGAGUCUUUGAACGCACAUUGCACCCAUAGGUAUUCCUUUGGGCAUGUCUGUUUGAGCGUCAUUACAACCCUCAGCUAACCGCUGGUUUUGAACCUAACGGGUGACACCGCGCCGGUUUUAAAGUUGUAAGCUCUGCUGGCCGCUCUGCCCAACCAGAACAUAGUAAGCACUACUUGUCCGGGUGAAGCUGAACGGUACGGCCUGAACAAAACCUACCCACUCUCAAGGUUUGACCUCAGAUCAGACAAGGAUACCCGCUGAACUUAAGC
Molecule: unclassified non-coding RNA, 313 nt
Filed under: plant metagenome
Description: partial contains 5.8S ribosomal RNA, internal transcribed spacer 2, and large subunit ribosomal RNA
Rfam family: 5.8S ribosomal RNA (bases 1-105)
Source: RNAcentral